AACACUGUGGGCCAUUCCGGCCCCCUCCAUCAAAAUCUUCCUAAGAGGAGGUGCCACACUCUGGGCAGUUUGCAUCACACAUCUGUGAUUGUUUGUUUUUUUAAACCGUGUGCUGCAUCGCCGAAUGUGAGGGAACACACCGAGGGCAGGCUCUUUCUGCACAGCCACCACCCUGUGCCAAGAAUCUGCUAGGCAUUUACCAGCUGACGAAAUCUGCCGUGGUGAAUACUAAAAACUUAAGUGUUCACAGGUAUUGCAAGUCCAUGCAAGAUGAAGCAGGGAAGACAGCACCACACAUGUGGGGAAAGGUCCAGGGCAAACGGGAACACACUCUCAUAUUCAUUUUCUAGAAAGAAACCAGGUGCAGCCUUUCCCAGCCUCUGAGAUAAACUGGUGACCUCCUCCGAGCAGGACAGGAGAUGCUCAAUUUGGCUUUCUGGAAAUAGCCAGGCCAAAUAGCAGACAUGGGCAACAGCAAGAAAGAGAACGGAGUACAUGCAGACUACGUGGUGACGGAGCAGCCAUGGAACUCUAGGCUGACCAGGGCAGCCAUCUAACUCCUGCCACAGCACUUGUCCAUAUCCUGGAAUGUUCCAGCAUUUGCCUCUGUUCAAACGAUCCCUCCAGAACCGUGCUACCCUGCCUUCCUUCAAACAUGCUGCGUUGCUCCCUUUCUACUGCCUUGAUAACCCUCCACUGCAUUAGCCCUUCGUUUGUUUACUUAGUGUGUGUGUGUGUGUGUGUGUGUGUGUGUGUGUGUGUGUGUGUGUGUGUGUGUGUGCCCAUGUGCACACCUGAGUGGAUUUGUACACCUCAUCUUCACAGGUGCCCAGGAGGUGAGUCCCCUGGAACUGGAGUCACAGGAAGUUGUGAGCCGUCUGAUGUGGGGCUGAGAACCAAACUCAGAUCCUCUGCAAGAGCACUAAACUCUCUUCAUAGCUGAGCUGUCUCUCCAGCUCCACAUUUGCCCUGUCUUUCCAGACCCCUGUAUUGUUCCUUUCUUGUUUGCUUGUUGUCUGUCUCCCUCUCUUGAAUAAACUUGAUGAAGGCAGA
Cricetulus griseus (Chinese hamster) is the source of this 1053-nucleotide non-coding RNA. Lineage: Eukaryota; Metazoa; Chordata; Mammalia; Rodentia; Cricetidae. The record is from RefSeq and is a predicted model, not a curated record.